AAGAAAAAUAUAUUUCGUUUAGUAAGACAAUAAGCGAUUAUUUUCAACUUCAAUUUAUAGAUUCAUAUCGAUUUCUGCAAAAGAGUUUGUAUCAACUUACAACCACAUUGACUUUACCUGAUUUUGCAAAUACAUUAAAUAUCUUUAAAUCGUUGGAGCUGGUCACACGGAUAUCUGUUUUCCCAUACGAAUACGUAGACAGUUGGGAAAAACUCCAAGAAAUACAGCUGCCGGUACGCGAAAAUUUUUACAGUUCCAUUACGAAAUCUACAAUAUCUGAAGAGGACUGUGAACAUGCAAAAAAAAUGUGGCAACACUUUUAAUGCAAAACUCUCGGCGAUUAUAGUGAAAAUACUUGCUGACAUAUUUGAAAAGUUUCGCAUGGAGAUUUGAAAAAUUAUUCCCUGGAUCCCACUCAUUAUUACUCAUGUCGAGCCCUGUCAUUUGACGCUAUAUUAAAAUACACUGAUAUCCACAUUGAAUUGAUAACAGACCGAGAUAUGUUAUUAAUGUUUGAAUUGGGAUAUGUGGAGGUUUGACACAAGUCAAUCAGCGGUAUGCUCGAGCUAAUCACCCAGACAUCGCCGACUACAAUCCCAAUAUUCUACAUAAAUAUCUGCAAUACCUAGAUGCUACAAUUUUAUAUGGAACAGUUUUUUUUUUUUUUUUAUUAAAACCGAUGCCUAUUGGAAAUUUUGAAUGAUCAAUUAUGAAAAAAUAUCUGUUUGAAUACUUCGACACUUCCAACUAUCUCAUCGAUCAUCCAUGCUGCAAAUGUAGUCAAGGUGGCGAUCGCACUCAGCCGUAAAGGCAAUACAGCGAUAAGCACGGGUAAAAGUUUUUAUCUACAAACAUCCGGUUGUAAGACAUACAAAAAGUACUAAAUUCGACGGCGGAGAAAGGAUAAAAACAAAAACGAUCGGCACAAAAAAUUAAUUUUGCAGCUACCCGAUCGUGCCUUGUAUGAUGUUGACAUUGUAAAUUUCGGUAACUGUAUUCUUGAUUGUAAAGUGUUUCGUGACGUAUUUUGUCAUGACACGUUACCGCAAUCAGGACCUCAAAUAACCGAAAUGACUAUAGUGAAUUUGGACCUUUUCACUUACCCUUGCACACAUUGGGUAGCUUAUAGUAAACGUGGUAAAUGCGUUACGUAAUUUGAUAGUUUUGGUAAUUUAUGACCACCGUUGGAACUGCAACGAUACUUUAAAGGAUGCACAAUCGUGCACAAUUAUAGUAGAUAUCAAAACUCCAACGAAAUAAAUUGUGUUUAAAAUUUUUAACAAAAUAACAAUUCUGGACAGCAAGAAAUGGCUCCUGUUAGAAUUCCAACACUGGGACGUUGA
Molecule: long non-coding RNA, 1343 nt
Organism: Daktulosphaira vitifoliae (grape phylloxera)
Lineage: Eukaryota; Metazoa; Arthropoda; Insecta; Hemiptera; Phylloxeridae
Exons: 3
Source: RefSeq, a predicted model, not a curated record